AGGACGAACGCUGGCGGCGUGCUUAACACAUGCAAGUCGAGCGGUAAGGCCUCUUCGGGGGUACACGAGCGGCGAACGGGUGAGUAACACGUGAGCAAUCUGCCCUUCACUUCGGGAUAAGCCUCGGAAACGGGGUCUAAUACCGGAUAUGACCGUGCCAUGCAUGUGGUGUGGUGGAAAGUUCUGGCGGUGGAGGAUGAGCUCGCGGCCUAUCAGCUUGUUGGUGGGUAAUGGCCUACCAAGGCUUCGACGGGUAGCCGGCCUGAGAGGGUGACCGGCCACGACUGGGACUGAGACACGGCCCAGACUCCGUACGGGAGGCAGCAGGUGGGGAAUAGUGGACAGUGGGACGAAAGCCUGACUCGAGCAACGCCGCGUGAGGAUGACGGUCCGUUCGGUUACGUAAACCUCUUCAGCGCCGACGAAGCGAGAGUGACGGUAGCGCAGAAGAACGCCGACCGACCAACGU
This 469-nucleotide ribosomal RNA is filed under the name uncultured soil bacterium. RNAcentral describes it as "bacterial SSU rRNA". It matches the Rfam family "Bacterial small subunit ribosomal RNA", at positions 26 to 506 of the family's 1533-position model. The record is from RNAcentral.